UACAGAGGGGGCUAGCGUUGUUCGGAAUUACUGGGCGUAAAGGGCGCGUAGGUGGCCUGUUAAGUCGAACGUGAAAUCCCCGGGCUCAACCCGGGAACUGCGUCCGAGACUGGCAGGCUCGAAUCCGGGAGAGGGAUGUGGAAUUCCAGGUGUAGCGGUGAAAUGCGUAGAUAUUGGGAAGAACACCGAUGGCGAAGGCAGCCAUCUGGACCGACACUGACGCUGAGGCGCGAAAGCGUGGGGAGCAAACAGG
RNAcentral lists this ribosomal RNA (253 nucleotides) under uncultured bacterium. Its description in RNAcentral is "partial 16S ribosomal RNA". It matches the Rfam family "Bacterial small subunit ribosomal RNA", at positions 524 to 776 of the family's 1533-position model. The record is from RNAcentral.